AACGACUCUCGGCAACGGAUAUCUCGGCUCACGCAUCGAUGAAGAACGUAGCAAAAUGCGAUACUUGGUGUGAAUUGCAGAAUCCCGUGAACCAUCGAGUUUUUGAACGCAAGUUGCGCCCGAAGCCAUUUGGCCGAGGGCACGUCUGCCUGGGCGUCACGC
This 162-nucleotide ribosomal RNA is filed under the name Chaetanthera flabellata. RNAcentral's name for it is "5.8S ribosomal RNA". It matches the Rfam family "5.8S ribosomal RNA". Rfam says of the family: 5.8S ribosomal RNA (5.8S rRNA) is a component of the large subunit of the eukaryotic ribosome. It is transcribed by RNA polymerase I as part of the 45S precursor that also contains 18S and 28S rRNA. Functionally, it is thought that 5.8S rRNA may be involved in ribosome translocation. Lineage: Eukaryota; Viridiplantae; Streptophyta; Magnoliopsida; Asterales; Asteraceae. RNAcentral also lists the same sequence under 1 other name. The record is from RNAcentral.